AUACGGAGGGUGCAAGCGUUAUUCGGAAUCACUGGGCGUAAAGGACGCGUAGGCGGGUUGGCAAGUCAGAUGUGAAAUCCUACAGCUUAACUGUAGAACUGCAUUUGAAACUGCUAACCUAGAGUAUGGGAGGGGGAGAUGGAAUUAGUGGUGUAGGGGUAAAAUCCGUAGAUAUCACUAGGAAUACCGAAAGCGAAGGCGAUCUCCUGGAACAUAACUGACGCUAAGGCGUGAAAGCGUGGGGAGCAAACAGGAUUAGAAACCCUUGUAGUCCC
RNAcentral lists this ribosomal RNA (275 nucleotides) under uncultured bacterium. RNAcentral's name for it is "partial 16S ribosomal RNA". It matches the Rfam family "Bacterial small subunit ribosomal RNA", at positions 523 to 797 of the family's 1533-position model. The record is from RNAcentral.